This 205-nucleotide ribosomal RNA is filed under the name Vibrio cholerae. RNAcentral's name for it is "partial 16S ribosomal RNA". It matches the Rfam family "Bacterial small subunit ribosomal RNA", at positions 1200 to 1404 of the family's 1533-position model. The record is from RNAcentral. Lineage: Bacteria; Pseudomonadati; Pseudomonadota; Gammaproteobacteria; Vibrionales; Vibrionaceae.
CCUUACGAGUAGGGCUACACACGUGCUACAAUGGCGUAUACAGAGGGCAGCGAUACCGCGAGGUGGAGCGAAUCUCACAAAGUACGUCGUAGUCCGGAUUGGGGUCUGCAACUCGACUCCAUGAAGUCGGAAUCGCUAGUAAUCGCAAAUCAGAAUGUUGCGGUGAAUACGUUCCCGGGCCUUGUACACACCGCCCGUCACACCA